AGACGUCUACAUUAGAUACCCGCGUAGUCCCAGCCGUAAACUAUGCGCGUUAGGUGUAUCGGUGACCACGAGUUACCGAGGUGCCGAAGGGAAACCGUGAAACGUGCCGCCUGGGAAGUACGGUCGCAAGGCUAGAAACUUAAAGGAAUUGGCGGGGAGCACCACAACAGGUGGAGCCUGCGGUUUAAUUGGACUCAACGCCGGGAAGCUCACCGGAUAGGACAGCAGAAUGAUUGCCGGGCUGAAGACCCUGCAUGACUAGCUG
This 265-nucleotide ribosomal RNA is filed under the name uncultured archaeon. RNAcentral describes it as "partial 16S ribosomal RNA". It matches the Rfam family "Archaeal small subunit ribosomal RNA", at positions 717 to 982 of the family's 1478-position model. The record is from RNAcentral.